Molecule: non-coding RNA, 148 nt
Filed under: Nomascus leucogenys (northern white-cheeked gibbon)
Lineage: Eukaryota; Metazoa; Chordata; Mammalia; Primates; Hylobatidae
Source: Rfam by way of RNAcentral
GCUGGGCAUAAUGGUGUGUGCCUGUAGUCCUAGCUACUCAGGAAGCUGAGACAGGAGGAUCACUUGAGUCCAGGAGUUCGAGGCUGCAGUGAGCCGUGAUUGCACUACUGCAUUCCAGCCUGGGCAACAGAGUGAGACUUUGUCUUUG